RNAcentral lists this ribosomal RNA (455 nucleotides) under uncultured bacterium. Its description in RNAcentral is "bacterial SSU rRNA". It matches the Rfam family "Bacterial small subunit ribosomal RNA", at positions 8 to 507 of the family's 1533-position model. The record is from RNAcentral.
AGAGUUUGAUCAUGGCUCAGAACGAACGCUGGCGGCAGGCUUAACACAUGCAAGUCGAACGGAUCCUUCGGGAUCAGUGGCGGACGGGUGAGUAACGCGUGGGAACCUACCCUGGGGUGGGGAAUAACCUUGGGAAACCGAGGCUAAUACCGCAUACGCCCUAUUGGGGAAAGACUAUGUUGCCCUGGGAUGGGCCCGCGUCCGAUUAGCUAGUUGGUGGGGUAAUGGCCUACCAAGGCUGCGAUCGGUAGCUGGUCUGAGAGGAUGAUCAGCCACACUGGGACUGAGACACGGCCCAGACUCCUACGGGAGGCAGCAGGUGGGGAAUAUUGGACAAUGGGGGCAACCCUGAUCCAGCCAUGCCGCGUGAGUGAAGAAGGCCUUAGGGUUGUAAAGCUCUUUCACCCGUGACGAUGAUGACGGUAGCGGGAGAAGAAGCCCCGGCUAAUUCCGUG